CCCAGACUCCUACGGGAGGCAGCAGUGGGGAAUAUUGCACAAUGGGGGAAACCCUGAUGCAGCGACGCCGCGUGAGUGAAGAAGUAUUUCGGUAUGUAAAGCUCUAUCAGCAGGAAAGAAAAUGACGGUACCUGACUAAGAAGCCCCGGCUAACUACGUGCCAGCAGCCGCGGUAAUACGUAGGGGGCAAGCGUUAUCCGGAUUUACUGGGUGUAAAGGGAGCGUAGACGGUGAAGCAAGUCUGAAGUGAAAGGCGGGGGCUCAACCCCCGGACUGCUUUUGAAACUGUUUGACUGGAGUGCAGGAGAGGUAAGUGGAAUUCCUAGUGUAGCGGUGAAAUGCGUAGAUAUUAGGAGGAACUCCAGUGGCGUAGGCGGC
Molecule: ribosomal RNA, 378 nt
Filed under: uncultured bacterium
Lineage: Bacteria
Description: partial 16S ribosomal RNA
Rfam family: Bacterial small subunit ribosomal RNA
Source: RNAcentral